Molecule: ribosomal RNA, 463 nt
Filed under: uncultured bacterium
Lineage: Bacteria
Description: partial 16S ribosomal RNA
Rfam family: Bacterial small subunit ribosomal RNA
Source: RNAcentral
GACGAACGCUGGCGGCGUGCCUAACACAUGCAAGUCGAGCGAAUGAAGUUCCUUCGGGAAUGGAUUUAGCGGCGGACGGGUGAGUAACACGUGGGCAACCUGCCUCAUAGAGGGGAAUAGCCUCCCGAAAGGGAGAUUAAUACCGCAUAAGAUUGUAGUACCGCAUGAUACAGCAAUUAAAGGAGCAAUCCGCUAUGAGAUGGGCCCGCGGCGCAUUAGCUAGUUGGUGAGGUAAUGGCUCACCAAGGCGACGAUGCGUAGCCGACCUGAGAGGGUGAUCGGCCACAUUGGGACUGAGACACGGCCCAGACCCCAACGGGGGGCAGCAGGGGGGAAAAUUGCAAAAGGGGGGAACCCCUGAUGGAGCAACGCCGGGUGGGGGGUGACGGCCUUCGGGUUGAAAAGCUCUGUUUUCAGGGACGAUAAUGGCGGUACCGGGGGGGGAAGCCACGGCAAACUACGG